Molecule: long non-coding RNA, 1272 nt
Filed under: Anolis carolinensis (green anole)
Lineage: Eukaryota; Metazoa; Chordata; Lepidosauria; Squamata; Anolidae
Description: lncRNA (ENSACAG00000039111.1)
Source: RNAcentral
AUGUAUAUACCCAAAGCAAGAUUUUUGGUAGAAUUAAAACAGUCUCCUGAUACGAUAAAGUUGGAUGCCCAAGUCGGCGGAUCCUCUGGAUUAAGGGUGGUGCUGCUGAACGCCAGGUCUCUCAACGGAAAAUCGGCUAUUAUCCAGGAUUUGAUCCUGGAUGAAAAAGCAGACCUGGUGUGCAAAACGGAGACCUGGUUGGACGAAGCAGGGGGGGGGGUUAAUCUCACCCAGCUCUGUCCUCCCGGGUACUCCGUGCAGCACCAGCCAAGAUCUGGAGGACGGGGAGGCGGGGUCGAAGUGGUCUAUAAGGAUUCCAUCCCCCUGACCAGGUGUCCUAUCCCACAGUCAACCUCGUUCGAAUGUCUCUACCUGAGAGUGAGUGGCCGGCACAGGUUAGGGAUUCUGUUAGUGUACCGUCCACCCCGCUGCACUACAGUCUCCCUGCCUGAGCUACCGGGGGUGGUCUCGGGUCUGGCGUUGGAGUCCCAGCGCCUUUUGGUGCUGGGUGACUUCAAUGUCCAUGCGGAGGCCACCCUUUCAGGAGCGGCUCAGGACUUCAUGGCCACCAUGGCAGCCAUGGGGCUGUCCCAAGUGGUAUCUGGCCCCACACACAGUGCAGGACAUACCUUGGACUUGGUUUUCUGUCAGGGAUGGGAAGGUGAUGGAGGUGUGGAGGAGCUGACCAUCGCUCCCUUGCCAUGGACCGACCAUUACCUGCUCAGGUUUAGACUGGCUGCGCCCUCCAACCUCUGCAGGGGUGGAGGACCUAUUAAAAUGGUCCGCCCCAGGAGGCUUAUGGAUCCUGAUGGAUUCCUGACGGCUCUUGGGGAGUUUCCCGCCACUUCGGCUGGCGAUUCUGCCGAUGUCCUGGUUUCUCUCUGGAAUAGGGAGUUAACCAGGGCAAUUGACAUGAUCGCUCCAGAACGCCCCCUCUCGAGUAGCGGAGCUCAACCAUCUCCUUGGUUCACUGAGGAGUUGGCAGCGAUGAAGCGAAAGAAGAGGAGUCUAGAGCGCGUGUGGCGUUUGAAGUGGAACAAAUCAGACCGAACUCGGCUGCGCCUCUUUCUGAAGGCGUAUGCCGCGGCAAUAGAUGCUACAAAGAACGCCUUCUUUGCAACUAAUAUUGCGUCCGCGAAAAACCGUCUGGCGGAGCUGUUUCGAGUUGUCAGAGGUUUGUUAAAUCCCACCACUCAAGAUGGGAUCCCUGACAGCUUGGCAGCUCACUGUGAAGCAUUUGCUCGGUCCGCUCUGGCUUCGACGCCAUAUUAA